UCGGGAAUUUUGGGCAAUGGGCGAAAGCCUGACCCAGCAACGCCGCGUGAAGGAUGAAGUAUUUCGGUAUGUAAACUUCGAAAGAAUAGGGAAGAAUAAAUGACGGUACUAUUUAUAAGGUCCGGCUAACUACGUGCCAGCAGCCGCGGUAAUACGUAGGGACCAAGCGUUGUUCGGAUUUACUGGGCGUAAAGGGCGCGUAGGCGGCAAUUCAAGUCAUCUGUGAAAUCUCCGGGCUUAACUCGGAACUGCCAAGUGAUACUGAUGUGCUAGAGUGCAGAAAGGGCAACUGGAAUUCUUGGUGUAGCGGUGAAAUGCGUAGAUAUCAAGAGGAACACCUGAGGCGAAGGCGGGUUGCUAGGCUGAUACUGACGCUGAGGCGCGAAAGCUAGGGUAGCAAACGGGAUUAGAUACCCUGGUAGUCCCUGAGCGGGCUGGCAAGGCGC
RNAcentral lists this ribosomal RNA (446 nucleotides) under uncultured bacterium. RNAcentral's name for it is "bacterial SSU rRNA". It matches the Rfam family "Bacterial small subunit ribosomal RNA", at positions 355 to 823 of the family's 1533-position model. The record is from RNAcentral.